AAAAAUAAUAAUAAUAAUAAUAAUAAAAAAAAACGAAAAAUAAAAAUAAAAAUAAAAACAAAAAAAAAACAAAAAACAAAAAAAAAUUAAUUAAUUAAUUAAUUAAUUAAAUAAAUAAAUAAAAUAAAUAAAUAAAAUAUAACAAAUUAUUUUGGACUUGGGUCUCCCUCAUUUAAGCCCACUACCCACGAAAAUCAGUCUAUAAAUACUGAAGUUUCAGUAGAGGAGUGACACUUGGAGUUACACUGGGAGAUUCACUUGAGAAAAAGGGAGAGAAGCAAAAUACUCUGAGGUUUC
Molecule: long non-coding RNA, 297 nt
Filed under: Lathyrus oleraceus (garden pea)
Lineage: Eukaryota; Viridiplantae; Streptophyta; Magnoliopsida; Fabales; Fabaceae
Description: Pisum sativum (pea) long non-coding RNA (PSAT_LNC039931)
Source: RNAcentral